RNAcentral lists this long non-coding RNA (8613 nucleotides) under Homo sapiens (human). Its description in RNAcentral is "non-protein coding PRKCQ-AS1:37". The record is from RNAcentral. Lineage: Eukaryota; Metazoa; Chordata; Mammalia; Primates; Hominidae.
ACCUCUAGCCAGGGACGCGCGCUCGGUCCCCCGCCGUGCGCCCCCGGUCCCGCGCCCAGGCUCCCGCCCCUGGCCUCCUUACCAGCCACUUGUCGCCCAGCUGCGAACUGGAGCGGGAGGCGGCGGCCGGAGGGCCCAGGACAGCCCCGGGAGGGCGGCGAGGCGGAGCAGGAGCGCCCCGGCUCCGGCCACAUUCUCAGAGUCAGGAAAAGGGGCGAGAGGCCACAUGUCUCCCUCUCGCCCAACUGAAAACGAAACGGCGCUCCAGCAGAUUGGGUGGAAAGAGCUGGGUCUCUUUUCUCUGUUUUUCACGCUAGAAAGGGCUUGUAAACAUUGUUCCUUUUAAAAUGACCUACCCCAGGCAUUUGUUUGGGCACACUUCUGUCCUGGGGUCAUCGUUCCUAGGUGGCUUCGGACCUGGGACUUUUCCUGUAUCUGCACAUUGUCGUUUUAUACACAAUUGCCAAGGUGGGACUGCUUUCAACUUUACUGUGCUUGAAGCUGCAAAGCGGAUCCUGUUACAGUGCAAAGAAGAAAUGGCAAACGGAUAACAGCUACUGUGCCUAGAAGAUGGUUCUGCCCUGAUGUUUCCUGGAAUAAUGCUGAGGACUGCCUUUCGGGUAGCCGCCCUAUUCAGUUCACUUCAUCUCGGAAAUACCUGACCCCUGCCUUGGAUCCAGCGGCCCUCCUGAGAGCUGAGGAAGGAGGAAAUCCUAUGUGUCUGCUCCCGGAGCUGCCACAACCCAUCUUCCCACAACUCGGAACUUGGAAAAAGGAACCCAGGACACGACUUUGCUUUUCUUUUGGACCUAGUUGAAGUCACAGCUUGGAGGAAACCAGUUUGCACUAUUUGAUGAGGAAUUUGGCCACCAAACCACUGAUACUUUCCCAAAGGUUUGGCAGAAAUUGUUUUUUGAGUGGCUCACCAGAGUACCCAGAAGAAUCAGUAUGGAAUUAGAGGACAGUGGCCUACCCUAAAUAAAGACAUGAGUGAUGUAUAAAGUCUAGUGUCAAUUUAUUCAGAAAAUAUCAAAAUUAUUCUGGGAGCUAUGGGUCAAAGUUGAUAGGCACAAACAAACAAAAACGAAAGGUAUUUUAAAUUCACAGCUUGGAUAAGUAAAAGGGAGAUGUUGUCAUUUCUCUUCUUCAAUCCAACUUUAGAUUUUCAAGCCGGAAAAAGGGUAAUUAGAAGUUAGAAAUUGUUAUUGCCAGAAAAUAGCUCUAAACCCUGAAAAAAAAAAAAAAAAAAAAAAAAACUGACCCUCCUCUUGGGGAGUGAUAAACCUCAAUUACUGUUGAUAGUAAAACUGAUAUCAACUCUUCGAAACCAGUGAAAGGUGAAUGGAAACCUUACCCUAGGUUAAGGUUUAAAAAAUGUUCAUAAUAUAUAUUUGAAAGUUCCAUUAUUUAAAAUAUUCAUUAGACAUGCUUUGUAAUGUUAAGUUACUUCAAAAAAUCUUACACAAGGGAAGGGAAGUAUGUAUUAUUCCUUCAUUUAAGAGAAAGAUAAUGUGUGAAUAUUAGUUAAUAUUUAUCGUACAUUUACUACCUGUGUCGAAGCGUAGUGUUACACACUUAAUUUCAAUUAUUUAAUUUGAUUCUAACAAUGAAUCCCCUGAGAUGGAUAAUAUCCUCUUCAUUUUACAGAUGAGACAAUUGAGACUUAAAGGUUAAACAAAUGAUUUCCUAAGCUCAUUCAGCUAAUAAACGGUAGGGGACUGCUUGACACCAGUCCAGUUGACCCUCAAAUCCAUGAUUUCUGCCACCAUAUUCACAGAAACAAGACAAGAGCUGAAAAUAUAGCCUGACUCUUGAAACAGUCAAAGAAUUGUGUAUGUUUAUGAAAGUUCUGAUUAAUAAGAUAUUCUGAGGACAAAAGACAAGGCAUGGGUAGAGGGGCAAUGUGUAGAUUAGAAUGUAUCACAAUGCCCACUAAAUAGUAAAACCAUAGAAAAUGAAAUUUAAUCCUUACUGUGUAGAAUAUUUAGAGUAGAUUGUUUUUUCCUCGGUGUCAAUUACUAUUACAACUAUCAAAGAAUGAAAUUAAACAAGAAACGGUUCCUUUGGUUUUUUUUUUUAAAGGUGGGAGUUAUAAAAACAGUAUUUGCCAUCUGGUUUUAGUUAUGGCUGUGGAAAUUCUAUGGGUACAAUUUGUUGUCAUUGUUGUUACCACUACCAAUACAGAGAUGCUAAUUGUAACAUCAGUUUCUAAAUCAGAUAGUGAAUAAUUACAUUUUCAAUGUUUUCUUAACAUAGAUACAAGUUAACAGGAUAUGCUUCUGGCCUGUUUCUGGAUUCUAAGGGUAGAACCAGCAUAAAACUAGUCAGUCCAAGUAUUUCUAAAGAUCCACAGACACAGUUCUCCUGGAUUUGGGAAGCCUAGAGAUAUUAGCACAAUAAUUAAGGCCCAAGGUAAAAGCAACAGCAGCCUGAAAAUGCAAAAGACCAUACAUUUUAAUGGUAAGUCCUCCCCAGGAAGGAUUAAUAAAUCUCAGGAGGAAGAUUUAUUAUCUGUAAAUCCAGGAGGAAGAAAUCAAGAUGAAAACUAUCAUAUUUAUAAAUUUGAUUGUUGCAAUUUUAUAGUUUGACAUAGUGCAAUUGCUUUAGAUUUGAAGGGGAACUUACUUUAGAGUAAGUCACUCAAUCUCUUUUUUGGAAAGGCAAAUGCCACACCUGAUCCUCAUCACUCCCUUCUCCUUUGUCCAUAGCCUGGCUUUAUUCUGCCAUUAACACACACACACACACACACACACACACACACACAAAUUGGGAAGAGGAUUUCUCAUUUUACAGAAAGUAUGCUGGGCUACACAGGAUAUUCUAUCAGGUUUCUUCCAGCUAUAAAAUUCUGAGACUAAAUAUCAAAUUAAAGAAAGUACUAAUUGUCAGCGAUGGGGGAUGUACUGCUAUUUGCUUCUAGUGGUACUCACUGCUCAUUUCCUAUAUUCACUGGUAUAAAAAAAUUUCAAACACCCUCAAAAAAGCCUAUACUGGUGGUACCAGGAAAACGCUGAAAAUCAUUACUUUCUGUGUGGUGUCCAGCUCUUUUGGUUACAUCAUCACUUCGACCAUUCACUUUUAAAGAAAAACUUUUGUGGAACAAAAAUAUAAAGAUUUAUUUUUUUUCUUGGUGGCUUAGCACAGUGGCCUAAUGUGGCUGACCAUGUGCACCUGUUGUGUGAGUCACUUAGACGUGCUUUGUUUCUUGGUCACAGUUGAUCCCUCAACUCAAGCAUCUCACCCUCAAAAUGUUUGUUUGGGACCCAAGAGGCAAACCUUGAGAUGGGUUAUUUCUUUCACCUUGGAUUGGCUCAUCUGCUGGGAGUGGAGCCAAGCUGACAUUUCCUUUCCUUUUUGUCUGCCUAUCACUACGUAGAGGCAGCACAUAAGAGAGGGAAAGCCAUGCGCGUGGAGUCCAGCACAUCACCCAGAAGGCAGAUGUUCUAUCUCCAUUUUACUCAUUAAAACAAACAAAACCACACCUGGAUUGCCUGGUACUUAAAUAAAAUGCACUAUGAUGAUUGAAGAAAAAUAUCUUAUAUUUAAGGAAUAGUUUUAAUAGCUUACAUCUGUAUUUCUAUUAGCUUCCGUUUCUAUUUUUAAUAUUUGUAUAAUAUUAAAAGUAAUUUUAAAAAUGAACUAAUCUUUUUACAUCUCUUAUGAGAAUUUAAUGGAGAUAUGAUGUUUGAAGAUCAAAGAUACGUGGUAUUUGAAAUCAGAAAAUGUGUUUGCUUUUCUACACAGAUUACAAAUAUCAUGCAUUAUUUCACAAACUCUUCUCAAAGUGUUGAUUUUAAAAUUAGUAAAAGGAGGGUAUAUUCAUAUCACAUCCUGGCAUUUUUAUAGGCAAGAUUGAGCAGCUAUAACCUCUAAAGUGCUUUGAUCCCUAUAAGCCUCAAGAAGAGAAUGGUGCAAUUUGAAUUAAUAACUACCCAUUAUAGAGCAUUUGUAUCACAGUAUUUUCCAAAUACUAUCUUAUUUAACCCUACAGCAAUCCUAUGAUAUGGGGAUUAUGUACACAUUACAGAUGAGAACUUGAGGCUCGGAGAAAGUAAAUAACUUACACAAGAUCACAAAGCAAGUGACUGCCAGAGCCAGGAUCAGAACCCAGUCAGGCUUCAUUAGGAGCUCUGCUGAACUCUGUCUAGAGAAUUCUCACCACCUGCUGCAAAGGCUAAAAGAAAGGGUCAUAUUCCACAUGUAGAUUUUGAGAAAUAUUUGUUAUUUUUCUUAUGAUAAAGGUUAUGCAUACACACUCACACACACACACACACACACACAACUAGAAAUUACAGAAAAGAAAAAAGAUUAGCCAGAAUGUCACCACCUAAAGACAGAUAAUAUUUUGGUGUUUUCAAAUAUUCUUUUAUCUAUACUUUUUUGAAUUAUUUUAUUUUAAAAAUAACUUUUACUGGUUGCCUGAUUAUGAAGUAAUAAAUAUUCACCAUAAAUAUUUUGAAAAAUAUAAAACUGUCUAUAAAAGAAAUUUGAAAUGAUUGCUAAUCUCAAAAUAUAGAUACCUGUCAGUACUUUGGCAUUUUAUCCUCCUUGUGGCUGAGGUCACAUAUCUUGAGACUGAAGCACAAAAUUUCUAUACCAUACAGUUUAUAGUUUAGGCCACAACAUCAUUUUUAAAAUUGUUUCUUUGGUUUUUACUUGAUUUGCUGAUGUUUUAUUUUUUAGAAAAUUGCAGAUGUGAUUUUUAGGCAGCUGAUUGGAAUGUUCUGGUUGCUCUGAAUAGGACUAGCUACUUUGUUUUUUACUGAAGGACAAAUAUUAUUCCUACACACAUAAAAAACCUCAAAGAAUGAGUAAUGAUACUGUUUAAAUCUGCCCUUAUAACUCCAAAGAAUGACUUCAAAUUUUCUUUCUUCCAAAGCAACUUUUAAAAGCCUUUCCACUGCACAGUGAAAGAAAACCACAAACUCCUUGUUUAAUAAGUGGGAUCACGUGCUUUUAACACGAGGAAAAGGUCAAUCUGAAGCAACUGAUAUGGAACUGCCAGAGUAGGUACGUAAAUUUAGGAGUUACAUCAAUUUGGGAGGGCUGCAGAAAUGUGGAUCAGAUUUUAAUCACACUGAGGAAGUUUCUUUGAGCAAAAGACGUGAUGGUUGUUCUCUAGAACCUUUCUGUCCUGUCCGUUGCUUUGCCAAGGGAGCUAGAAAAGAAAUAAACAUUUAAGAACUUAAAAGGCUUCUGGAUAAAACUCAGCUUGGUGCAACACAUUUUAGCUAUCACAGCUUUACUCCCAAGCUUCCACCUUUCCUAGGAGCGCAGUAAAAACCUGAGCCAAAGAAACCAAACAAUAGAACUGAAAUUCUUUAAACUUGAGUUCUUGAGGUUAUAGUCUUUGUGCACUCCAUAAAGUCAAAGCCCUAAAAAGAUUUUUAGAAAACAAAACACUUGUAUCUGUAUCUAUUUCCCCAAACCUCUCUACAUUUACUUACCUUUUGCAGACUCAUGCUUUCUCUUUUCCUUGUGAUUGCAUUUGGAUAGAAUGAAGACCUCUCCUACAGUUCUCAACUUAAAUUCUUUCUUUUAUUUCUUAGCUACGAAAGAAAAUUCAAAAAAUUCAAUGCUCUACUUUGUAACUCCCUGGACAUAGUGAGUCCAUUAUGUACAUCAUGAGGAGGGAGUGGAGAAAGUGGAAUUCUUAUGUAAAUUCAUACAGCUUUGGAAAAUGGUUUAGCAGUACCUACUAAAGCUGAGCAUAUGCAAAACCAGUGACCCAGGAAUGUCAUGGGUACAUAACCUACAAAAAUGUAGACAGAUGCGCUAAAAGACAUGUACAACAUGUUCACUGCAGCCCAGUUCAUCAUCACCCCAAAGUGGAAACAUCUCAAGCGUCCACCAGCUGGAGGCUGCACAAUAAAACUGUGGUACUUUCGUCGGUAGAAACAUGCCACAGCUUGAACACACGCUGAAAACAUAACGUCAAGUGAAAGAAGCCAGGUCCCAAAAAAAGACAUACUGUAUGAUUGUAUUUACAUUAAGUCCCAAAACAGGUAAACUGAAUUCAUGCAAUGGAAAGUCAUGAGAGUAGCUACUGCAUCUGGGGAGGCAGGUGGUGGAGUGCCAGGGAAGGAGCACCAGGAUGGCUCAUGGUGCUAUUUUUAUGACUUGAUGUAGGGGAUAGGUAAUAGGUAGGUCCACUUUGGAAAAGUUCAUCUAGCUGUGUAUUUGUGACUUGCAGUCUUUUCUGCAUGUGUCAAUUCCAGUAAAAAGAUUACUUGAAAAUCAAGUAUAAUAUUAUUGUAUUUACAAAGCCCUUUCUACGUAGCCAGAAACAGGGUUGGUUUCCCAGGUGACUGAGAGGUCGUCAGGAGCUUAGUGAGUGGAGGGCAGGGGACAAGUGUGUUCAUUCUCUCUCCCUCUCUCUCUGCUGUUCUGUAAGGUGACAAGUUAGGCUUACUGCCAGUGUGACCUUAAAUAAGCCAUGCAUGCUUUCUGAAUCCUUUUUUCUUAUUUGGUGAGUGACGUGCUAGUUAAAAUGGUGUCUCCAGCCCUUUCCCGUCCUCGCUGCUGUGAUUCAAGCCCCCUCCUUCUCUGUGGGGCUUCCUCCGACCUCUCGAUUUCACUGUCACCUUUCUCUCUUCCUCUCUCUCCUGCUUCCUCCCUGUCCACCCCCAUCUCUGUCCCCCCAGGGCCGAGUUUGUUUUAUAUCUCUUUUGGUAUCUCCUCUGGUUUUCUGGCACCAUGUCUUACGUAGAGCAAAUAAUAAUGCUUUAAAAAAUUCUCGAUAAAGGAAAAAGUUCAGUAAAGUGUGAAUUUCACAUUGUAGUCAGUGGUUAAAUGCCUCAAACACUUAAAAAGUAGAAUUUAUCUCAACCUGGGCAGAAGGCAGUCCAUGCCAAUUUCUAAAUGGAAUCCAAUAGCAAGAAUGCACAAAGAACAAGCAGGAGUGGUGAGGAUUUCCUCACUCUGUCCCUCAGAGGUGGCGCGUCUCAUCUGUGAGGUGAAAGUGUCAUCACGUCAUUGACAUAAAGUAUAAGUACAGGGAACAUAAUCAUCUGGGAGAUUUUAAUUUGAGUUAAUAAGAGAUGAGAUUUUCAGGCUAAAAGUCUUGGGGCUGGACAAAGAAUAUUUAAAAGGAGGGUUGGUGGAUAAAGAAACUGUGGUAUAUUUAUACGAUGGAAGACUACUUGGCCAUAAAAAGGAAUGAAUUAACAGCAUUUGCAGUGACCUGGAGAUUGGAGACUAUUAUUCUAAGUGAAGUAAUUCAGAAAUGGAAAACCAAACAUCAUAUGUUCUCACUGAUAUGUGGGAGCUAAGCUAUGAGGAUGCAAAGGCAAAAGAAUGAUACAAUGGACUUUGGGGACUUGGGGGGAAGGGUAGGGGGCGGCGAGACAUAAAGACUAGAAAUAUGGUGCAAAGUAUAUUGCUUGGGUGAUGGGUGUACCAAAAUCUCACAAAUCACCACUAAAGAACUUACUCCUGUAACCAAAUACCACCUGUACCCCAAAAACUUAUGGAAAAAUAAAUAAAAGAGGGUUGGAUGAUAAGAAUUUGUCAUCUUGUUUUCUGAAUUGUUCAAUUGUACUUAAUUGUACUUCUUUCCUUAAGGAGUUGAAAAUCUUCCUAAACUGCUGGAGGAUACACCUCUGAUAGCUUGAGACAAAUAUCCUCUUGAUCAUUGUUUCACCAUAUUUGUCUUUGCUCAUGGAGAACCAUUUUGAUCCGUGGUUUAGCCUCCCAGGUGAUUGAACAAUACCGGUGAUCUGAGGCAGACCCUCUGUGACGGAUAACAGUGUGAGAACAGAGGAGAAGCCUGGUUUGAGUGAGUUUUUCCUGAAGCAAAAGGGAAGAGCUUAAUUUCAAAAGGAAUAUCUUGAAAGACGCAUCAACUCACCAUUAGAAAACAUGAAACGACAGAUUACACCCACAUUGAAAGACCUAUCUUAAUUCAGACUUCAAAAUCUUACAAACGUCCAAGUCCCUCCUUUGAAAUGCUACUAAGACUGCAGUAAGAAUACAUAGCAUGCAGUGACUGAGAGGAAGAGAGAUACUAACACUUGAAGUAAUCCAGUCUAUCAAUAGGAGAUGGACUGCUUUGAUUUAAAGCGAUUUACAAAAGGAUUUGGAUACCUCAUCUCUCCUGUUUCGCCAAGGUCUUGACUCAUCGCUGCAGGUUGUAUAAUUAGUCUCAUUAAUCUAGCAAAUGAUGGCAAAAUGCUUGGUAAUGAUGUCUAACUGGGGUUCCUUUCCAAGGAACCUUUGUUGUUUAAUUAGGAGAUAAUGGAUGAGCUUGUAGAGAGACCAGGGUUAUAAAAGGCAGUAGCAUGUCAAUGUGCCCAUGCCUAGUUCAAUACAAUGGUUUUUAAGCCAAGUAUUCAAAUAAAUUGACAUUAUGUAGGUACAUGAAUUUAAAAGGGGUCAUUAUUCACUAACUAUAUUUUAACAUAUGCUUAGAGCAACCCAUUACUGCUGGGGAUAAUAAACGGUGCCCAGAUGAACAACCACAUUGCAUACAAAGGAUGGUGUCUGAGAUCACUACUGGGCCCGACUUAGCCACCAUCUUUCCAAAUAGAAUCAUAGGUUUGGAAAUUUAUCCCUUCUAUGGAUGAAGCACCAAACUAUUAAACUGCAAAACCAUUCUGUAUUUAUUCUUUCCAG